This is a long non-coding RNA of Balaenoptera ricei (Rice's whale), 261 nucleotides long. RefSeq lists it as uncharacterized. Lineage: Eukaryota; Metazoa; Chordata; Mammalia; Artiodactyla; Balaenopteridae. The transcript has 3 exons. The record is from RefSeq and is a predicted model, not a curated record.
GAUUUGUUGGAGAACUCAAAUCCUCAGGAUUAUGGCAGGAAAAGAGAGACAUCCUUAAAAUGUCUUCUUCAGCGCAGCCAGCUGCCAUGGAGAUUUGAAAGCAGGUGACCUGGCCAAGAGAUCUUAUCAACUGAUUUUUAAUGAAGAUUGCUUUCCUGAAUGCCAAGUAUAGGAGAAAAAUGACAGCAUGGCCCAUUAAGGAAGUACCAAUGAAUGAGAGAGACAAGAUCACAGAAGGGAGAAACUUACUGAGAAACAAGG